This 4445-nucleotide long non-coding RNA is filed under the name Panax ginseng (ginseng). RNAcentral's name for it is "long non-coding RNA (PGIN_LNC007028)". Lineage: Eukaryota; Viridiplantae; Streptophyta; Magnoliopsida; Apiales; Araliaceae. The record is from RNAcentral.
GAACAGUCCCUAAUUUAGCAUAUAUAGUCGUGUGGCGUGGUCUGGAGAAAGAGAGGCCAAAUUUAGGAUCGAGUGUCUUCUCUUCCUUGGCCAAAGUUCACAUGUCGAUCAAUCCCACCAUGUAGCUUCGCUUUAUGUCCUCCAUCACAGGUACAUGUCCCUCUUCUCUCCUUUCUUUUAUCUAUCCUUGUUCUUUUCUCUCCUAUAUCUCCUACAUCUAUCCUCUAGAAUUGAUUUUCGUUUUUUAGGGUAUUUUUCCUUCUUUUGUUAUCUUUUAAUUCGGUAAUAAAUCUAAUCUCAGUUUAUUUAUUUGUAAUAUUUGCACCUUAUUCAUUCAUUUGUACUAAAUCAAAUCUGAUUUUGGUUAUAUGUGGUGAUUUUGGUGGUCAAUCAAUUUUUAUUUUGGAUAUAUGUGCACCACAUGUUUGAUGUUUUGUCCAUCUGUUGCAAAAUUUUGAAAUCCUUAUGUUUACAGUCUAAUAUGAUUGUAUACAUAUGUAAAAAGUUUUAUACCUUUAGGUUUGCGUAUUAGGUGUCACAACAAAUAAGUUCCCUAGUUCUCACACAGGUGAAUUUGACAGAUGACAACUACACUAAUAAUAAAACAUAUAUAAUAAACACAAUACAUUAAAUGAUUGUAUAAUGAUUGAGUUAGAAUAUGAACAGUUUUUUUGUACUCUAUUAGUCUCAAAAUGAGUGUCCACAUUUAAAAGUUAGCUUUUAAGAAGAGCUUGAAUAUAGCAUUAUCAACUGCCAAGAUCACAACAUACAGGAUGUAAUCAAGGUUUCAAGCAAUUUUAAAAAUUUAGCCUAGAAAAUGUAUCAUGAUAAGAUUAUAAAGCAAAUGAAGCAAUAUCUCUGACACCUUAUAUACCUUUAAGUUUGGGUAUUAGAUGUCACAACCCCACUGUUCAAAUAAGUUCCCUAGUUCUCACACAGGUGAAUUUGACAAAUGACAACUACACUAGCUGAAUAGAGAAUUCAUGUUCUUUACCUAAUCAACUUUUUGACCUUUUUCCUAAAUAACCUCAUCAUUCUAGUUUUCCCAUUUUUUACAAAUUAAUUGUAAAGUUUUUAUUUUUGUGAUUAAUGCAGAUUAACUACGAAGUUUACACAUGAAUAUUUGCACUUACUCACCAUAUACUGAUUAGAUACAUAUUUCAGUCUUUUGAAGCUUUCGAGUGUCCACAUAGGUACAACAUGAAUAUGGCUUUCCUGUUCAUUCAAUGUGAACCACUGCAUAUCUUCUUUAGGGAGAUCUAAGGAUUCCAAAAGACGCAGCUUUGUAGUAUUGACAUAGAUUUUCUUGCGCAAAACCCGAGCAAACCUCUAUAAAUAGCCUUUCUUUUCCUAUUUUCAAAAAGAAACAAAUGGAAGGAAAAGAAUAAAUGUUUCUGUAGAGAUGAGAAUGUUGUAUAAUAGAAAUUAUGGUACCAGAUAUAUUAUACUGUGGAUGGACCCUCAGUGGGGAGCAAACCCAGAGAGAGAACCUAUUGUAUAGCUACUAAUCAAAAAUAGAGUUCUUGGGUUGAAUGCUUCAGCCUGGAUGACAUCAAUGACAAAUUGAAUAACAGCCUCCUGCUUUGGAAAGUCAUACUGCAAAGAAUAGUUUAUAAACUUCCAUCAUGAUCAUCCAGUAAAAAAAAUGGAAGUAGCUUAAUUAAAAUAUGUACAUGAACAAUUUUUCUCUCUACAUAUAUAGUUAGGAAAGUAGUAGUAACAUGCUCCUGAAAGUAUGAAAACUUAUCUACAGUAAAGAUCGACAAUAAAUCAUAUUUUAUACAAGUGAAUGAACAUACAGGUUUAAAUGAAGGGAGUGUAAUUUAUUUUUUGAAUUUCGAAGAGAUGCUUAUAAUAUAUGUCAUUAUUACAAUUAAAAUGGCAAUCGUAAAAUGUCUUAAGGUGGGAAAAAAUAUCAUGUCAGUCGAAAAAAUAAUAUAGUUACUAUAGAUGCAUAUAUAUAUAUAUAUAUAUAUAUAUAUAUAUAUAUAUAUAUAUAUAUAUUUUNNNNNNNNNNNNNNNNNNNNNNNNNNNNNNNNNNNNNNNNNNNNNNNNNNNNNNNNNNNNNNNNNNNNNNNNNNNNNNNNNNNNNNNNNNNNNNNNNNNNUACAUAUAUAGUUAGGAAAGUAGUAGUAACAUGCUCCUGAAAGUAUGAAAACUUAUCUACAGUAAAGAUCGACGAUAAAUCAUAUUUUAUACAAGUGAAUGAACAUACAGGUUUAAACGAAGGGAGUGUAAUUUAUUUUUUGAAUUUCGAAGAGAUGCUUAUAUUAUAUGUCAUUAUUACAAUUAAAAUGGCAAUCGUAGAAUGUCUUAAGGUGGGAAAAAAUGCCAUGUCGGUCGAAAAAAUAAUAUAGUUACUAUAUAUAUAUAUAUAUUCUACCAAUUCAUGCUGAUUACUGAUUGUGAUUUGCUUUGUUACAAGUUGAUUAUUCUUGGGGUUGUUUUCAUAUUGUUGGACAGUUGGACUAAUUCAAAAACUAAUAGCCUUCUAGCGAGCUAGAAAUAGAUGUAGGGGCAUUUGAAGAAAUAUCUCUUAAUUAUUAUGUAGUUCUUGUAGACUUAUCUGUUACUAUUAGAGGUUACACACUAUAGACUUGUUUUCAGGUUAAUUGUUCAAAUAACUUAGAAAUUGGUUACACAUUUUUGCUGCAAGAAAUCAUUCAUGUGGUCAGAUUACCUUUGGUGCUAAUAAUCACAUGUGCGAAUAACUUUAGUAUGGAAAAUUCUCGAAGGUCUGUUGCUAAUAUUUUGACGUUAUGCCAUGUCUAUAUGUAGAUAUGAUCUGAUUUAAUAGCUUUAUGCUGUGAAGAACCAAAAAAAUGGAAAAAUGACUCCCACCCCUAAGAAUCUAGAACCAUAUUACUGAAAGACAUUUAUUAGUGAAUGUCGUAGAGUAAACCAUUCACCUAUUAGUACCGGCUCUGAUUGUGGUAAUGCACCUCGAACUAGAAAAAGUAUGCUGAACAAAAUUACUUAUUAACAUUUGGAGAGGGUGUAUAACUCUUAAGAUAAUCUCCGAAAGUUUGAGACAAUAAAUUCUAAAGGAGCUGAAUAUUGGGAAUAGAGUACUGAUUCUGUUAUGGUCAACAACAAUGAUUCCAGAAGCAAGGCCUCCUCCUUGCAUUGAUACUAGUAGUAGCUGCAGCUCAUCUACAAUUCUCCAAUUUAUUUUCUUAUGUUUUUCGUUUGGACUCAUGUCCAUCGGUGUUGGAGGAAUCAGGUCAUGUUCUUUAGCCUUUGGAUCUGGUUACAUUAAAGGUCUUGGGUAUGGUCUAAAACCUCCAAGCAGGCGCAUUACAUCAUCUGAUUUAGCUACCCAACAACUCCAAAAGGAACUUCAAGAGAUGCAACAAAAGCUACAAAUGUCUGACUCUCAAGUAAAUGAUCAUAAGACACAAGUGGCUGAAUUUGAGACUGAAGUAUCUGAUCUGAAAACUUAAUUGGUUCAUCAAGGUGAAAAUAUCAACAAACUUAUGGAAAUUAUGGCUGCUAAUGGGAUGAACAUCUAGGUUGAAAAAAAUUAUGUAAGUAAUAAAUACUUUUAAACUUCAAUGAAGCUUUCAAAUGUUGCUUUCCAUUGUUUAUGAGACGAACAUGAUUUUAUAUCUUAUUCUCUAUAUGGGACAAACAUGAUCUUUAUUACUUUGAGUAAUAAAUUUGCUUAUAAAGGUUUGUUAAUGUUCAAUGGAUCUUGAGGCUGGUUGUGUUUAUGGUUUAUGUUCAUAUGAACUCAAUGCAUGAGUAGAAGUUGUCUAGAUAAUAUGCUUUCAAGUUUUCUCUAUAACAUGCACUUAAGCAAUAUAUUUUUUUUGAACUUUUUAUAUGAACAUGAGUUUGAUGAAUUUGAUUUUAUUGGUUCAUUUAUUUUAUUUUAUUGUUCAAAGUUAACUGUUUGAUGAAUUUGAGCUUAAGUUCAUUAGUUGCUUGAUUGCAUUUGACUAAAAUUUUUAUUGUACCAUAUUUAUAGGGCUAAAAAGAUAGGAUAACUUUUUUUAGUAAUGUUAUAGUUAUAGUUCUAGAAAAUUCACAAUUUAUUAUUUAAAUAUUUCUUUCUUUAUAUACUUUUCUGUUUAAAUUUUAUAACCAUUUUACUAAUUUAUGUCUAUAUAUUUUGAUGAAUUUGCAGAUAGAGUUUUUUUGGAAGGUCAAUAACCACAAGGUUGGAGGUUUUAAUUAGGCAUUUUCUUAGGAUAUGGAUGUGAGAAGUUCAGUCUUUUGAAUUAUAUAAUUUGGUUUUGUGGUACUUAGAUUAUUUAAGCAACUAUUCAUUUUAAUUGCUUAGUUGGGUAUUUUGUUGAAUUAGUGAAUCUACUAUAUUUUUUUAUAAGAUAAUUACUUUUUAUUUUAAAUGUUUAUUGUCUUUUGUCUCUUAUAUUAUAUGCAGGUGUAAAGUUGAUUUAAAAAUGUCACUAAAUGUAUUAUAUUUUUUUAUUGAAAAGUGU